AGCAGCCGCGGUAAUUCCAGCUCCAAUAGCGUAUAUUAAAGUUGUUGCAGUUAAAAGCUCGUAGUUGAAUUUCGGGAUCAAUACGUCGGUCGUGCUUCGGUACGUACUGGCGUAAUUGAUUUCUCCCUUCUGACGAACCAUGAUGUCAUUAACUUGGUGUCAUGGGAAAUCAGGACUGUUACUUUGAAAAAUUAGAGUGUUUAAAGCAGGCUCACGCUUGAAUACAUUAGCAUGGAAUAAUGAAAUAGGACGUUCGAUCCUAUUU
Molecule: unclassified non-coding RNA, 265 nt
Filed under: uncultured Acaulospora
Lineage: Eukaryota; Fungi; Glomeromycota; Glomeromycetes; Diversisporales; Acaulosporaceae
Description: sequence contains 18S rRNA gene
Rfam family: Eukaryotic small subunit ribosomal RNA
Source: RNAcentral